GACGAACGCUGGCGGCGUGCUUAACACAUGCAAGUCGAACGGAAAGGCCCUGCUUUUGUGGGGUGCUCGAGUGGCGAACGGGUGAGUAACACGUGAGUAACCUGCCCUUGACUUUGGGAUAACUUCAGGAAACUGGGGCUAACACCGGAUAGGAGCUCCUGCUGCAUGGUGGGGGUCGGAAAGUUUCGGCGGUUGGGGAUGGACUCGCGGCUUAUCAGCUUGUUGGUGGGGUAGUGGCUUACCAAGGCUUUGACGGGUAGCCGGCCUGAGAGGGUGACCGGCGACAUUGGGACUGAGAUACGGCCCAGACUCCUACGGGAGGCAGCAGUGGGGAAUAUUGCACAAUGGGCGGAAGCCUGAUGCAGCAACGCCGCGUGCGGGAUGACGGCCUUCGGGUUGUAAACCGCUUUCGCCUGUGACGAAGCGUGAGUGACGGUAAUGGGUAAAGAAGCACCGGCUAACUACGUG
This 468-nucleotide ribosomal RNA is filed under the name uncultured bacterium. Its description in RNAcentral is "partial 16S ribosomal RNA". It matches the Rfam family "Bacterial small subunit ribosomal RNA", at positions 28 to 507 of the family's 1533-position model. The record is from RNAcentral.